Long non-coding RNA from Orbicella faveolata, 2428 nucleotides. The record is from RefSeq and is a predicted model, not a curated record. Lineage: Eukaryota; Metazoa; Cnidaria; Anthozoa; Scleractinia; Merulinidae.
AGUUACGUAACUUUUGGUCCCACCGAGAACUAAGCAUGACUUGGCCAAGGUCAACAAGAUUGCUAACAUCCAAUCGCAAAUAACAAUCCUUGGAGAAAUGUUAAACCACUUAGUUACAGACCAACAGGUGACAGAAAAGAUUCGUCUGAGCUAACCUUGACUACUGAAUAGCCUUCGAUCACACGAUAGGCACGUGACAAACUAAUGAUAACAGUGUAGUUAUGCCCAAUGCAAAUUUAGCUUCCUUAACAAUAGUGUUCUUGUGUUGAGUGUCAAUUCGCUUAUAGAAUUCUCAGAGCGUACUUCUGGUAAACGACUGUUCCAAUUUAGCUUCGUGGAAAGAAUUGCUAGUCAAAGGAUAAGUUUAUUUGGAAAAAAGGCGUCGCCGAGCGAUUGAAACUGAUUUCAGUGAGGUUGGCAAAGUUUAUUGAAUGCCAUGACUACUCGAAAGAAAGUGCGAUGCUUUUUUUAGGUCCAAGUGGGCAAACAAUCUGAGUUAGCAGUAUCAUCGCUUCAGUGUCGAUCCAGGGUGGAGACUCGACUGAUUAAUUGAUUGUAUUGGUUGAUUGACAAGAGUACGAUAACAACUGCCAGAAUUACGCAUCAAGUGAAUUAUGAAUGCGUUUAAUCCAUAGAUGGCGUUAUGUGGCAUGCACAGAGGGGAAUUUUUGGAAAAGACAACAAAGAGCCGAUUGAGCUGGCCCUGCCUGAAUUACCAUGUACUAAGUAUUACAGCUCGCAAUCUCGUCACUAACCAUGAAUUGAAUUCAACGAAACGUCAAGGAAAUUAACUUUGAAUACAACAAAGUGUUUAAUUUUCGUGCCUAGCAUAAAGAAAGUCACUCAAAAAGACAGGCUGCCACUCAAGAGACCCUUAAUUCUCAAACAGCGAAUGUGCUAAAAGGUGCACUUUACUAUGACGCAAAAAUGUGACCCCGAUCUGAUUCACAGGUCACGUGACGUGUAUUAGCUACCGCUGGUCUCUGGAGAGAUUUUCAGUUCGGUGUGUUAUGGCCUGAAUGUCGUCUGUCUUUAUGGAAGUAUGUUGGCAUUCUAGAAGAGGCUAUUUCUAAUGCUUGAUACGUACACGAACUGAACUUUAAUUACAUCAAGUCUGGGCUCAUUUUCAUCAUAAAGCUGCUGCUUUUUAAGCAGACACAACCACUAAUCUAAAGCUAAAGACAGGCAAGAAAGCAAUGGGAGCUGAAAUGGAAAUGAUUUUAACUGGCCUUCUUUUGGCGCUUGCCACUGUUCUUAUCAUCUCGGUGAUCGUUCUAGCGAUGUACGUUGAGAUACUAAGAAGAACCGUUGCAUUGCUGGGGAGCAACCCGGUCAUUUUGGUUAAGCAAGUCCCAAUAAAUCCUGAGGAUAAGGUCAAGGCCAGCGUUCCACGACCCAGGGCCUUAUCUGGAACGUGCUCCUGGAAAUUGGGCUCUAUGGAAAGUGUUUUUUAUGUUCCCUCACGGGUGGGAUCACCUGAAGUGUUCCGCAAGAAUGACAAUGACUUACUUGUUGCUAAUACGGCCGCGUGUAACACAUCUGGGUUGCCGACUGACUCAUAAUUAGUGAGCGAAUUCCUAAGCUGUAAAACCGAACAGUCUUUUGACAAAUGGGCCUCUAAGCCUCAUUAAAAUGUUCUCCUAACUUAUAGAGCUAUUUUCAUUUCAAGGCAAACGCCAUAGCAUCAUUUGUUGCCUCAUUAGUAUACGACUUUGCAUAGAGAAGACAGCACAAUGACACAAUUUGACUUCAAAUUUUUAAAGAUCUUGCGAAACCAUCUUCAUACUCAUUUAAUGAAACCUUGUGAAUCGUGACAUUUCUACUGCUCUUUCGGUGUAAUAUUAAGGCACUUAUUGGCUUUCAAAAGAUGACAAAGGAGCUAAAAAGCUCAUUCAAUCCUUGGAAAAGUUGGAGUUUUUGGUCACAAAUUUCUCGGGACAGUGUGCCAUGCCAUCGCCUUUAAAUUUUCAGUGUGGAUAUUUUUGUAGCUUGAUCAGAACCUAAAUCUCUUAUACUAAUGACGCAAUUCACUAGACUGACGUUAACGUGAGUUUCUAACUUGCGGCCUGGCCCUGACUGAGCUUUCCCUGAUUUCCUUCUCUGAAUACUCCAAAACAACUUUGUUUGCAGUGCCACGACACUGCUUGCUGUUAUUGUUUACAAGCAGAGUUGGAUUUAUCUGUGAAGGUAAUAUAUUUAGAGACAUUAAACAAAAUCUAACUCUGCUGAUUCAGACAGUCAGAGAGUCGGUGAAACUACAUAGAUAUCUACAAAGCCAGGGUUGAACUCGAAACUUGUUUUUAACAUCUAUUGAAUGGGUACAAAGCUUUUAUCACUGAAACCUGCUCCAUAACUAAGACCUGAUGUAAUUGUUUGACUGUAAAACUGGCAAGUUUAAACGCUGAAGAGAAACCACAUCCCAAACCUC